Molecule: transfer RNA, 76 nt
Filed under: Pararhodospirillum photometricum DSM 122
Lineage: Bacteria; Pseudomonadati; Pseudomonadota; Alphaproteobacteria; Rhodospirillales; Rhodospirillaceae
Description: tRNA-Ala
Source: RNAcentral
GAAGGAAGGCCUGGACAUCCGGCGAAAGAAAUAAGGGAAGGCUGAGGAGACCCCGCCUCCCCAGACCCCUUGGUCU